UGCUAAUACCGGAUAACAACAAGAUGAUGCCUAUCAACUGUUUAAAAGUAUGGUUCUGCUAUCACUCUUGGAUGGACCUGCGGUGCAUUAGCUAGUUGGUAGGGUAACGGCCUACCAAGGCGAUGAUGCAUAGCCGAGUUGAGAGACUGAUCGGCCACAUUGGGACUGAGACACGGCCCAAACUCCUACGGGAGGCAGCAGCA
RNAcentral lists this ribosomal RNA (203 nucleotides) under uncultured Lactobacillus sp. RNAcentral's name for it is "partial 16S ribosomal RNA". It matches the Rfam family "Bacterial small subunit ribosomal RNA", at positions 161 to 355 of the family's 1533-position model. The record is from RNAcentral. Lineage: Bacteria; Bacillati; Bacillota; Bacilli; Lactobacillales; Lactobacillaceae.